Sus scrofa (pig) is the source of this 1678-nucleotide non-coding RNA. NCBI's taxonomy places the organism in Eukaryota, Metazoa, Chordata, Mammalia, Artiodactyla, Suidae. The record is from RefSeq and is a predicted model, not a curated record.
GAAGCAGUUAUAUGUUGGAGGUCCUGACAAGUCCAUGGGUAAAAUGAUGUUUGCAAUGAUUAUGAGCUUGUAAUUAUCAAAUGGACAAAGUGAGAAGAGUGUUCCAGAAAAAGGCGGCAGUCCAAGAAAACUAAAGAGAAUUGAAAUGGAGAAUAACCUUGACCCUGGAUUACUGUGGAAUUGGACUGAAGUCUCUGCAAACUGUCAACAUCUCCAUCAUAUGACUAGAAUGAUGUCAGUAGAGCCAGUGGUCUGAGGCCAGCCGUGAACAGUGAAGGGAUGUCCUUUAACCGCACUGCAAGUUAGGGGGAUUGUUUGGCUUUGACUUUCAAAAAUCGCCAGAGAAGAAUGUUCUUUGUCUCAGGCUGUUUGAAAGGAGCUGGAAGCUGUAGGAUACCCCCAGUACCAUUUGCGUUAGUCAAGAUACUCCAAGUAGCAAACACCAAGAGAAGAAUAAACCUGCAAGAAUUACACCGGGGGAGAACACCUAUGAGACAACGUGGGCAAAGGCCAUGGAGGGACUAAGUGAGCAGGCGGAUCAUGUACAAGUCAGAUUGUAAGUAAAGGACAGAGAGAAGGAAGUUUGGGUAGAGGAUCCUAGAGUGCCCUGCAGUCUAAGAAGUUUCAGCAAAACUGUCGGUGAGUACAGUAGCCCCUCUUAUCCAGGAAGGAUAUGUUCCAAGACCCUCAGUGGAUGCCUAAAACCAUGGCUAGUAAGGAGCCCUACAAAUACUACAUUUCUUCCUUUCUGUAUAUACCUAUGAUAAAGUUUAAUUUAUAAAUUAGGCACAGUAAGAGAUUAACAACAACUAAUAAUAAAAUGGAAUAAAUAUAACAAUAUACUGUAACAAAAGUUAUGUGAAUGUGGUCUCUCAAAAUAUGUUAUUGUACACAUUUAUCGCCUUUUCCAUCUUAAGCACUUAUACAUUGUGGCCAUAACUUUUGCAAUUUGUGGUGCAACAGCAAACUAACACAGAUUUCUUAUUCUUUCUUUACAGCUUUACAGAUUGAAGAUUUGCUCUUAUCAUAGAUCUUAGCAACUUCCACGUGCAUUUUUUUUCUUUCUUUAACUAGAAAACUUUCACCUUUUCACUUGAAGGAAAGGCUUUACAGCUUCUGUUUGGCAUCUCCAAAUUACCAGCAUCACUGCUCUUGUGUUUUGGGGGCCAUCAUUAGGUAAAAUAAAGGUGACUGAACACAAACACUGCAAUACUGUGACAAUGACCCACUAAUCAAGAGGGCCAUUAAGUGACUAACACUCAGGAUAUACUUGACAAAGUGAUAAUUCCCAUCCUGGGUGGCAGAGAACUAGACUGUGCUAGAUUUCAUCAUGCUAUUCAAUUAAAAGGGCAUACAAUUUAAAAGUUAUGACUUGUUUAUUUCCAGAGUUUUCCAUGUAACAUUUUCAGGCUGAUGUUGAGCACAGGUACCAAAACCGUGAAGAGUGCAACCACAGAUGAGGGGGGACUACUGUUCAUGAGCCAAGUCAGCUGUCAGAAGAGUUCCAAAUCUACCAGGAAGGAGCCUGUCUCAGAAGCCCUGCAGAGCUCAGUCAUUGGCUGGGAUGCUGGAAGAUGUUAGGUGGCGUAGAGCGAGUGACCACCUGCAGACCAACAGAGGAGGCCUCAGAAUAAAACCUACCUUGCUGGCACCAUGAUCUUGGACUUUCCAGCCUCCA